This 549-nucleotide ribosomal RNA is filed under the name Metarhizium sp. INBio2855N. RNAcentral's name for it is "eukaryotic LSU rRNA". The stretch from base 160 to 313 matches the Rfam family "5.8S ribosomal RNA". Lineage: Eukaryota; Fungi; Ascomycota; Sordariomycetes; Hypocreales; Clavicipitaceae. The record is from RNAcentral.
AACUCCAACCCCAUGGUGAACUUAUACCAUUUACAACCGUUGCUUCGGCGGGUUCUCGCCCCGGGCUUUACACCCCGGAACCAGGCGGCCCGCCGGGGGACCCAAACUCUAGAUUUAUAUUUUAGCAUGUCUGAGUGGAAUCAUUACAAAAUGAAUCAAAACUUUCAACAACGGAUCUCUUGGUUCUGGCAUCGAUGAAGAACGCAGCGAAAUGCGAUAAGUAAUGUGAAUUGCAGAAUUCAGUGAAUCAUCGAAUCUUUGAACGCACAUUGCGCCCGCCAGUAUUCUGGCGGGCAUGCCUGUUCGAGCGUCAUUUCAACCCUCAAGCCCCAGCGGUUUGGUGUUGGGGACCGGCGAGUACAGAGGCUUUGGGGACUUGUCCCCCUUCCCUCGGCGCCGCCCCCGAAAUGAAUUGGCGGUCUCGUCGCGGCCUCCUCUGCGUAGUAGCACAACCUCGCAUCAGGAGCGCGACGCGGCCACUGCCGUAAAACGCCCAACUUUUUUUAAGAGUUGACCUCGAAUCAGGUAGGAAUACCCGCUGAACUUAAG